CGCAGCCGCGGUAAUUCCAGCUCCAAUAGCGUAUAUUAAAGUUGUUGCAGUUAAAAAGCUCGUAGUUGAAUUUCGGGAUCAGAUUGUCGGUCGUGCCUCGGUACGUACUGGUAUUAUUGGUUUCUACCUUCUGAAGAACCUUGAUGUCAUUAAGUUGGUGUCUUGGGGAAUCAGGACUGUUACUUUGAAAAAAUUAGAGUGUUUAAAGCAGGCUCACGCUUGAAUACAUUAGCAUGGAAUAAUGAAAUAGGACGUUUGAUUCUAUUUUGUUGGUUUCUAGGAUCGACGUAAUGAUUAAUAGGGAUAGUUGGGGGCAUUAGUAUUCAGUUGUCAGAGGUGAAAUUCUUGGAUUUAUUGAAGACUGACUACUGCGAAAGCAUUUGCCAAGGAUGUUUUCAUUAAUCAAGAACGAAAGUUAGGGGAUCGAAGACGAUCAGAUACCGUCGUAGUCUUAACCAUAAACUAUGCCGACUAGGGAUCGGAUGAUGUAAUUUUUAAUGACUCAUUCGCGCCUUACGGG
This 520-nucleotide ribosomal RNA is filed under the name uncultured Glomus. Its description in RNAcentral is "SSU rRNA". It matches the Rfam family "Eukaryotic small subunit ribosomal RNA", at positions 569 to 1094 of the family's 1831-position model. Lineage: Eukaryota; Fungi; Glomeromycota; Glomeromycetes; Glomerales; Glomeraceae. The record is from RNAcentral.